GCUCAACCGGGGAGGGUCAUUGGAAACUGGGGAACUUGAGUGCAGAAGAGGAGAGUGGAAUUCCACGUGUAGCGGUGAAAUGCGUAGAGAUGUGGAGGAACACCAGUGGCGAAGGCGACUCUCUGGUCUGUAACUGACGCUGAGGAGCGAAAGCGUGGGGAGCGAACAGGAUUAGAUACCCUGGUAGUUCACGCCGUAAACGAUGAGUGCUAAGUGUUAGGGGGUUUCCGCCCCUUAGUGCUGCAGCUAACGCAUUAAGCACUCCGCCUGGGGAGUACGGUCGCAAGACUGAAACUCAAAGGAAUUGACGGGGGCCCGCACAAGCGGUGGAGCAUGUGGUUUAAUUCGAAGCAACGCGAAGAACCUUACCAGGUCUUGACAUCCUCUGACAAUCCUAGAGAUAGGACGUCCCCUUCGGGGGCAGAGUGACAGGUGGUGCAUGGUUGUCGUCAGCUCGUGUCGUGAGAUGUUGGGUUAAGUCCCGCAACGAGCGCAACCCUUGAUCUUAGUUGCCAGCAUUCAGUUGGGCACUCUAAGGUGACUGCCGGUGACAAACCGGAGGAAGGUGGGGAUGACGUCAAAUCAUCAUGCCCCUUAUGACCUGGGCUACACACGUGCUACAAUGGACAGAACAAAG
RNAcentral lists this ribosomal RNA (637 nucleotides) under uncultured bacterium. Its description in RNAcentral is "bacterial SSU rRNA". It matches the Rfam family "Bacterial small subunit ribosomal RNA", at positions 607 to 1244 of the family's 1533-position model. The record is from RNAcentral.